RNAcentral lists this small RNA (98 nucleotides) under Sporosarcina newyorkensis. Its description in RNAcentral is "Guanidine-I sequence". It matches the Rfam family "Guanidine-I riboswitch aptamer". Rfam says of the family: This family represents a conserved RNA structure found upstream of the ykkC and yxkD genes in Bacillus subtilis and related genes in other bacteria. The function of this family is unclear although it has been suggested that it may function to switch on efflux pumps and detoxification systems in response to harmful environmental molecules. Nelson showed that this riboswitch senses and responds to guanidine and it was renamed Guanidine-I riboswitch. Lineage: Bacteria; Bacillati; Bacillota; Bacilli; Caryophanales; Caryophanaceae. The record is from RNAcentral.
UAAAAUGUUUUCUAGGGUUCCGCAACUAUUUUGUUGGUCUGGUCCGAGAGAAAACUCACAGUCAUGCUGUGUCACGGAAGGAUAAAAGCCUGGGAGAA